Molecule: long non-coding RNA, 544 nt
Organism: Myodes glareolus (Bank vole)
Lineage: Eukaryota; Metazoa; Chordata; Mammalia; Rodentia; Cricetidae
Source: RefSeq, a predicted model, not a curated record
CUGCCUUGCUCUUGUGUACGUCUCCCUGGAGCUGCGCCUGAACUGCUCUUGGUCAUCAUUUCUCAAAUUGUAGCUUGCAUCAGAAUCAUUUGGAGUUAUUUUAAGACAGAGGCAAUUGUCAUCGCCCCCCCCUCACAUUUCUGACGAGUAAAUUGGGGUGACACCCGAGCAUGCGCAGCCCCAACAGCUUCCCGGGUGAAAGUGAUAUUGCUGUUCCCCGAAUACACUUGGAGGACCACAGAACAGACACACACGGGGAAUUGCUGGGCUGCGGGAUGUGAGCACCUGCGUCUGUAUUUCACCAUGCCAAAAGCUCUGCAGUGAUUAUGUUUAUUUACAUUUACGGAUGGACUAGAGGAGAGCUCUUCCGUGGUCCCUGCUUUGAUUCCGCCCGACGAUGGACUGAAGGCUGGAGCCCUGAGUCGUGUAAGCAAGCUCGUUCCUCCUCCGAACUGUUCUUCCUCCGAGUGAUUUGUCACAGUUAAUAGAAGAGUGAACUAGGUCCAACAUUGAUCUUUUGCUGAUCAUUAAAAAUGUUUUCCCC